Molecule: non-coding RNA, 22 nt
Filed under: Arabidopsis thaliana (thale cress)
Lineage: Eukaryota; Viridiplantae; Streptophyta; Magnoliopsida; Brassicales; Brassicaceae
Source: RNAcentral
UCGUGUUUGCAAAAGGUCCAUC